Molecule: transfer RNA, 74 nt
Filed under: Lewinella sp.
Lineage: Bacteria; Pseudomonadati; Bacteroidota; Saprospiria; Saprospirales; Lewinellaceae
Also listed under: 1 other name
Description: tRNA-Pro
Rfam family: tRNA
About the family: Transfer RNA (tRNA) molecules are approximately 80 nucleotides in length. Their secondary structure includes four short double-helical elements and three loops (D, anti-codon, and T loops).
Source: RNAcentral
GUAGGAGUAGCUUAACUGGCUAGAGCGCGCGGUUUGGGGCCGUGAUGGUGUCCGUUCGAAUCGGAUCUCCUGCA